This 292-nucleotide ribosomal RNA is filed under the name uncultured Alphaproteobacteria bacterium. Its description in RNAcentral is "partial 16S ribosomal RNA". Lineage: Bacteria; Pseudomonadati; Pseudomonadota; Alphaproteobacteria. The record is from RNAcentral.
GGACUACCGGGGUAUCUAAUCCUGUUUGCUCCCCACGCUUUCGCGCCUCAGCGUCAAUUACGGGCCAGAUAGCCGCCUUCGCCACCGGUGUUCUUCCCAAUAUCUACGAAUUUCACCUCUACACUGGGAAUUCCACUAUCCUCUCCCGCAUUCAAGCCAAUCAGUAUCAAGCGCAGCCCCCAGGUUGAGCCCGGGAAUUUCACGCCUGACUUGAUCGGCCGCCUACGCGCCCUUUACGCCCAGUAAUUCCGAACAACGCUUGCCCCCUUCGUAUUACCGCGGCGGCUGGCAC